GUUUUGUUGAUGUUGAUCCUAUUCCUUUCUGUUUGUUAGUUUUCCUUCUAACACUCAGAUCUCUCAGUUGCAGGUCUGUUGGAGUUUGCUGGAGUUCCAUUCCAGACCCUGUUUGCCUGGGUACCACCAACGGAGGCUGCAGAACAGCAAAGAUUGCAGAAAAGCAAAUAUUGCUGCCUGAUCCUUCCUCUGGAAGCUUUGUCCCAGAGAGGCAGCUGCCUAUAUGAGAGUCAUUGCCCUGCAGGUUUUUACACACCACUGCUCUUCAUUCCAUCAAGACAGCGAGCGAUGUAGCAUUUCUUUAGAAAGUGCUCUCCGCCAUCAUCCUCAGGAUUCACUCCCAGCCACUGGCACCCAUAUGUGGACAAAGACAAAUAUCCUAACUGACACUCUGGACAACAGUGAUUGUCACAUGCAUCCCAAUUUCAAUAAAAUAUAAAAAAAGUGCACUUAAUAAUUGACAAGAUGUGGGAUGUAUUUUUCCUGAGAAGUCAGAUGAGGAAGUGAUUAAGUAAGUCACAGAAAGCACCAUCGAGGCAGGCACCAUUGCUCUUGCCAGCAGAGUAGUGCAGAGGAGAAAGAGCUCUCGGUGGAACCAUCAGCUUCACACACAGGAAACCAGGCAGGUCCUGGGUAUUUGGAGUUGAGUCAGGUGCCAGUUGUUGUGAGAGGAAAUUGACUUCUUGAAGUGGGCAGUGGAGGGCUCCCACUUGAGAACUGAAACUCCAUCCUCUAGGCCAAGAAAACAUCAGCAGAUUCUAAGGAACACAGUGACGGGACGGGCUCUCUUGGGUGGCCAUCUGGAGAAUGGAUUGGAAAGGGAGAGCAAGCUGUGAGUCCAGACCUGCUGCACCCUUCCUGGGGGAGCAGGUGCAGCUGCAGCAUCACUGCCAUCAAGGAGGCAGCUGGGGACCUGGGGUGCAAGGAGGCUGGCAGAGGGGCUACUGGGUGUGGGCCAGGGAGGGAUGAAUCCACCUGAUAAAAAUGUAGGCUGGGAAGACAAAUUGCUUUUCCUUUUCUGUUGAGGAGAAUGUGAGCAGGUAUUUGGCAGGUGGGACACCCAACCCACAGAAUCCAAUUCUUGUUGUCAGUUCUGGCUACUUUACAAUCUGGGGACUCAGCCUUUUAGAUUCCAGAAGCUGAAGUGCACAUAGAAAUUGUUACCAAUCACAGCAGGUUUCAAUGACAUGCACAAGCUUUAACAGCAUGAGGGGUGCGUGACCCCAACAACCACUGGUUUUGUUCCUUUGACUCUGUCUUUCCUUUUCCAAACUCACACAUUGCGAAUAAGGUUCAUCCUGAAAAGUCAGUAUUUUUGGAUAUAAACAUGUAACAUAUAAAAAUUUCAUGGCCGGGUGCGGUGGCUCACGCCUGUAAUCCCAGCACUUUGGGAGGCCAAGGCAGGCAGAUUACCUGAGGCCAGCAGCUGGAGACCAGCCUGGCCAACAUGGUGAAACCUCGUCUCUACUAAAAAUACAAAAAUUAACUGGGCGUGGUGGCACACACCUAUAAUCCCAGCUACUCGGGAGGCUGAGGCAGGAGAAUUGCUUGAGCCGGGGACAUGGAGGUUGCAGUGAGCCAAGAUUGUGCCACUGUACUCCAGCCUGGCCAACAGAGCGAGACUCUAUCUAAAAAAAAAAAAAAAUCGCUAUUGUGACCCAAAACUCGGGAAAAUAAGCCAUAAAUUUAAAAUAGCCCGAAGGCAGAAGGGAAACAAAACCAUCUAAUCUGAUAGCUGAGAAUAACAAUCUGAAGAAAGCACUAAAAAGUUUCCCACCUCUUGAAACUUCAUUUCAUAUUUACGUUUAGAGAGCACUCCUCAAAAACGUUUUAUUUUUUCAGACUGUAAUUUGGAGCAGAACUGCUCUUCUGCCAUUUCAAUUAUCCAAAUAUGAUCCCUAGGAUGAGAGAGAGCUGAAUUAUGGUCAACUUCGUCCUAUGAAUGAAGGGGAGCCAGAUUGGCUUUUGGACCCCAACAAACAGCUUAUAUUAACUCAAACACAUUUUAACCGUUUUCAACCUCCUGA
RNAcentral lists this long non-coding RNA (2027 nucleotides) under Homo sapiens (human). RNAcentral's name for it is "HSALNT0136385". Lineage: Eukaryota; Metazoa; Chordata; Mammalia; Primates; Hominidae. The record is from RNAcentral.